GGCAGCUUAAUUAAGGAACAAGACCAGCCGGGCACUCGCAAGAGUACUCGACCAUGUCGUGUUGACUCUGGAUAAUUUCUACAGAUCGCAGUCGGCCUUGUGUCGGCGACAGUUCUUUCAAAUGUCUGCCCUAUCAACUUACGAUGGUAGGUAACCUGCCUACCAUGGUGAUAACGGGUAACGGGGAAUCAGGGUUCGAUUCCGGAGAGGGAGCCUGAGAAACGGCUACCACAUCCAAGGAAGGCAGCAGGCGCGCAAAUUACCCACUCCCGGCACGGGGAGGUAGUGACGAAAAAUAACGAUGCGGAACUCUCUGAGGAUCCGUAAUCGGAAUGAGUACAGUCUAAAGCCUUUAACGAGGAUCAAUUGGAGGGCAAGUCUGGUGCCAGCAGCCGCGGUAACUCCAGCUCCAAUAGCGUAUAUUAAAGUUGCUGCAGUUAAAAAGCUCGUAGUUGGAUCUUGACGGCACUGUCGCUGAUCGAGUUUCGUGUGCGAAUGGAGCGGCCACCGGUCGUCUUCGUGAGCUACGUACUUGACUUGUUGAUGGUGCAGUCUUUCAGCCGUGUCUGAUCCUCUCGGGGGUCAGGUGCCUUUUGUCGGAUGAGCUAGCCUUGACUGUCAAUUGGUACGCUCCACGAUCCACUUCAUUGCGUGUCGUGGUGCGGGCGGCAUGUUUACUUUGAACAAAUUUGAGUGCUCAAGCAGCCACUGUGUCUGAAAAGUCUUGCAUGGAAUAAUAGAAUAGGACUUCAGUUCUAUUUUGGUUGGUUUUCGGGAUCUGAAGUAAUGGUUAAGAGAGACAGACGGGGCCAUUGUAUGCCGGUGUUAGAAGGUGAAAUUCUUGGGAUCGCCGCCGAACGCCUGAAGCGAAAGCAUUUGGCCAGAAAUGUUUUCAUUGACAAAGAGCAAAG
This 911-nucleotide ribosomal RNA is filed under the name Bilaterocotyloides carangis. RNAcentral describes it as "SSU rRNA". It matches the Rfam family "Eukaryotic small subunit ribosomal RNA", at positions 199 to 988 of the family's 1831-position model. Lineage: Eukaryota; Metazoa; Platyhelminthes; Monogenea; Mazocraeidea; Protomicrocotylidae. The record is from RNAcentral.